RNAcentral lists this long non-coding RNA (1245 nucleotides) under Canis lupus familiaris (dog). RNAcentral describes it as "lncRNA (ENSCAFG00040023429.1)". The record is from RNAcentral. Lineage: Eukaryota; Metazoa; Chordata; Mammalia; Carnivora; Canidae.
CUCGAACACGAAAACCCGCCCCAGCCGGUGGGGCGGCGAAGCCCAAGCCGCGGGGACCCCCGCGCACCGCUCGCGACCGAGCUCCUGGACGCGCGCCGGGUGCGCGCACAAAGCCCCCUGCGCCCCUUCCCGAGGCGUGUGGCGGGGGUCCCGCCUCGCCCACCACCAGGUCGCCCACCCCGUCGCUUCUGCUCCUUACCUCAGCACGCGCCGACCUCGGCCACGACGGGGCACAAACUUCCAGCCCGCGCGCUAGCUCAGCCGUGGCGCCCGCACGGACGGCAGUCCUGUCCCCGCCCAGCGCCUGCGGGUCGACCCUGCCUGCGAUCCCCACGACCCACCCGCCGCCCACUGCCGCCCCGGGUCGCGGUCGGGGCUGCGGCCGCGGCCACGGGGACCGGGCGGGGGUCGCUCACCGGGGGCGAGGCGCGCUCCUCGUGCCAGUCAUCCAGCGCCGGGGGCUCCGGGGCGGCGCUGUGGGCCCUCGUCAGCGCCCGCGAGGGAAGUCGAGGCAGCGGCCGCCGCCGCCCCCGGCCCCUUCCCCGGGGCCGCCCACCGCUCGCGGCGCUCCGGGCUGGGGACGUCGCUGUGCGCGCGGGGCGCACCGUCCCCGGGCGCGCGGCCGGGCCGGGGGUGAGCAGGGUCGCGCCCGGCGGGGGCGACCGACGAGGAAAGGCAAAGUUGGGUGCCGGAGCCAGCCCCGCAGCGGAGCCUCGGGUAGGAGCGGGGAGCCCCCGGGAAGGGCCACGCGGGCCGGGCCGCCCCUGCGCAGGGCAGGCGGAGGCGGAGAGCGGGCACCGGGCACGGCCGCGGCUGGCAGGGGGCUGCGGAGCCCACCCGCGGCGGGAGGACAGCGCGCGGGAGCGGGCGCAGCGAGAGCAGCCGCCGCCGGCGCCGCCUUCCCGGCGAGUAGAGCCGAGCGCGGAGCGCGGAGCGCGGGCGGGGAGCGCGGGCGGGGAGCGCGGGGCCGCUUCGCCCCGCCCCGGCCCGGCCCGGCCCGCCCUCGCCCCGCCCCCGCCCCGCCCUCGGCCCGCCCCCGCCCCGCCCCUCGGCCGCGCCUCCUCCCCUCCUGCCUGCCCGGGUGAAACCCGAGCGCCCCACCCGGCGCCUGACCUCCCGGGGCCCCGCCCCCGACCCUGCCCUUCCCGGCCCGGGACCCCCUCCGCGCCCGGGGGCCCCUCUGCGCCCCAGGAGCCCCACGGCUCCUUCCCUCGCGCGCGCGCGCCCGAGCGUUACUUUCGGUGA